This 448-nucleotide ribosomal RNA is filed under the name uncultured organism. Its description in RNAcentral is "partial 16S ribosomal RNA". It matches the Rfam family "Bacterial small subunit ribosomal RNA", at positions 331 to 796 of the family's 1533-position model. The record is from RNAcentral.
GUACACUCCUACGGGAGACAGCAGUGGGGAAUAUUGGACAAUGGGCGCAAGCCUGAUCAAGCCAUGCCGCGUGAGUGAUGAAGGCCCUAGGGUUGUAAAGCUCUUUCACCGGUGAAGAUAAUGACGGUAACCGGAGAAGAAGCCCCGGCUAACUUCGUGCCAGCAGCCGCGGUAAUACGAAGGGGGCUAGCGUUGUUCGGAUUUACUGGGCGUAAAGCGCACGUAGGCGGACUAUUAAGUCAGGGGUGAAAUCCCGGGGCCCAACCCCGGAACUGCCUUUGAUACUGGUAGUCUUGAGUUCGAGAGAGGUGAGUGGAAUUCCGAGUGUAGAGGUGAAAUUCGUAGAUAUUCGGAGGAACACCAGUGGCGAAGGCGGCUCACUGGCUCGAUACUGACGCUGAGGUGCGAAAGCGUGGGGAGCAAACAGGAUUAGAUACCCCGGUAGUCC